Carassius auratus (goldfish) is the source of this 698-nucleotide long non-coding RNA. RefSeq lists it as uncharacterized. The transcript is spliced from 3 exons. Lineage: Eukaryota; Metazoa; Chordata; Actinopteri; Cypriniformes; Cyprinidae. The record is from RefSeq and is a predicted model, not a curated record.
UAUAUAUUAAAGUCAAUGGACAACAUUAUUGAUGUGCAUAUUCCUGUAAUAAUGGUAAACAUUUAGAAAAGUUUUUUUUCCGUGUGUAGGCCUACUAUGUAGGCUAUCACUUUUUUCAUAUUUGCAAUAUAACGUAAUUGAAUUCAUAAUGACAUCGCAAAACCAUCGUUUAAGAAGUGACGUCAACAUUUUGCAGGGAGGCAACAUUGAAAACAACAACACAGGAUGUUGACGGAUCACCGUAAACUGUUAGUGCAUGCAGAAAAAUUCUUCGGCCACAGAAAAUAUAACAGCAUACGGGUUGGGAAAGACACGUGGUCGGUCCAUCAGUCACAUGUCUGACGUGAACUCCCAUCCCAAUCUCCCCUCAUCCUUCAACCUGACAGCCAUGACAGCCAAUCCCAUUCUUGAUUGGGCUGAGACUCGAAAGGAAACAGACAAAUGGAGACCAUCACCCUUUCUGGCGCUGAGACACACUAUCUGUAAAUCAAUGAUACCCAUUCCACAUUCAAAACCUGCUGGACAGACAGAGAGACACACACCCACAACAAAAAGUCAAAGCAACAUCAACCAGAAGAUUUACAGUCUUGCACAACUGCUUUCCCCUUCCCGGUGAAGACUAUGUGCACUUAAACCUUCAAGCGUUUGGUGAUUUAUUCAGGAUGCUCACAAGAACAAUCCAUAGAUGUUAUGGGAAA